AUCCUGGCUUAGGACGAACGCUGGCGGCGUGCCUAAUACAUGCAAGUCGAACGGUCUUUCUAUGGAAGCUUGCUUCCACUGAGAAGAUAGUGGCGAACGGGUGAGUAACACGUGGGUAACCUGCCCAUAAGAGGGGGAUAACAUCCGGAAACGGGUGCUAAUACCGCAUAGUUUUCUUGAUCGCAUGAUCGGGAAAGGAAAGACGGCCUUUGUGCUGUCGCUUAUGGAUGGACCCGCGGCGUAUUAGUUAGUUGGUGAGGUAACGGCUCACCAAGACGAUGAUACGUAGCCGACCUGAGAGGGUGAUCGGCCACAUUGGGACUGAGACACGGCCCAAACUCCUACGGGAGGCAGCAGUAGGGAAUCUUCCGCAAUGGACGAAAGUCUGACGGAGCAACGCCGCGUGAGUGAAGAAAGGUUUUCGGAUCGUAAAACUCUGUUGUCAGAGAAGAACAAGUUGGAGAGUAACUGCUCCAGCCUUGACGGUAUCUGACCAGAAAGCCACGGCUAACUACGUGCCAGCCGCCGC
RNAcentral lists this ribosomal RNA (529 nucleotides) under uncultured bacterium. RNAcentral describes it as "bacterial SSU rRNA". It matches the Rfam family "Bacterial small subunit ribosomal RNA", at positions 16 to 518 of the family's 1533-position model. The record is from RNAcentral.